GGAUUGUGGUUCAGUGGUAGAGUGCUCGCCUAGCACGUGCAAGGCCCUGGAUUCGAUCCUCAGCACCA
Molecule: transfer RNA, 68 nt
Filed under: Marmota monax (woodchuck)
Lineage: Eukaryota; Metazoa; Chordata; Mammalia; Rodentia; Sciuridae
Description: tRNA.Ala
Source: RNAcentral